GACGUAGCUAGGCUGGUCCCUCACACCACCACCUUCCCCCUCCUUUCCCGGAAAUUUUGUUGGGCUUUUGUAGCUUUCCUGUGAGUUUGGCCUCCGAAAAAGCUUGCCAAGAAGUGGGCAAUUUCUGGUUGUAGUUAUUGUCUACCGAGAGAAGGGAAAAGAAAAUUGAUUGGUGUAGGGAGGGCAAUGCGAGGAGGAUACCGAUUGUCCGAAUUCAGAUAUAGGUAAGUUGAUGAGUAUCUUAUAUCUUUUUAGGCGAAUAAACUUUAUUCAGACAAUACAUACUCAGGAGCUUGAUGGGAAAAAAAUAGUUACAAGAAAGCAUGUAACAAUUUUACAAAAUAUCAAUUACAAGAUUUAUUUAUUUAUUUAUUUUGGCAUGUGAGAACAGGAUUAAGUAGUUGGAUAUAAUAGUAUCACACCUAUCAUUUUUUAGAAAAUAAAAUCCAAAUCAUUGAUGUUUUUUUGAAAUAAUAUAUUGGAAACAAACCGGUACCCUUGUUUAAUACACAGUAAUAUGUUUUGUUAUGGGGAUGGAAGAUAUUUUGUUUGGGGCUGGAAGCAGCUGAGAUUAGAGGAUAAGAAAACUUUAUCAGAGGACAAAGUUGUACCUCUCUCAUCUCUAAACCAUGAUUGAUUACUUUGCUAAAGAAUUUUCUGGUUUAUUCGAGUAGCAUAAUUUGAUUGAAGAAUGGAGGUUCCCGCCUGCUAUUUGCUAUUUGCCAUUUGCCAUUUGCCAAUGAGACCAUGGCAUGUGAUGGGGGCUUUAAUAUUGAACACGUGGAAGUCACAUGCCAACGGGUUAAGGAAUGAAGAUGGUGUCCCAGCUGGUUUAGGAAGUACAGCAGAGGUUUUGGUAUGGCAAUAACAGAGAAGACAGAGAGACCACUCAGGUGUUCAAUCCACUGGCUGCUAUACUGCUAGUGCAGAGUACGUUUCCCACUAAUCACUAUUCACUCAUCACUCCUGGUUCAUUCGUCGUUCAGUCUUACGUAAUGGUCCUCAACUUUUUACACAGGCAUUAUACCAUUAGAUAGAUACCAUGUCUAUUUCUGUUUCUCUAGCUUGUAAUUAAGAUUUGUGCAAUGAAAGUGGCCUCAUAAGUAUAUGAGUAAAAAGCUUCAAUGUUAGAAUGAUAAUGUUCUGGGAAAAAGUAUGUCCCUUAAGUAAUUAAACAUGUAAAAUUGAC
Molecule: long non-coding RNA, 1189 nt
Filed under: Citrus sinensis (sweet orange)
Lineage: Eukaryota; Viridiplantae; Streptophyta; Magnoliopsida; Sapindales; Rutaceae
Description: long non-coding RNA (CSIN_LNC002853)
Source: RNAcentral